Equus asinus (donkey) is the source of this 1565-nucleotide long non-coding RNA. NCBI's taxonomy places the organism in Eukaryota, Metazoa, Chordata, Mammalia, Perissodactyla, Equidae. The record is from Ensembl.
CGCGUAUCCACUGGCCUGCUUCUCCCCACAAACCGUCACGUCACACACGGGCUGCCCCACACCUCACACUCGGAGCAGUACGCAGGGCACGUAUGACAAGUCACGUCCCACAGCCACAAAAACUCACAGACGAGGGUCCGGUCCUAGGCCGCCUGACGAGGCCAAAGUUGAGGGGUCGAAAGGCCGGGCUGCAGGCAUAACUGGAGCCAAGUACCGAACUACACAUCCCAGAAGCCACUGCUGCCGGAGUCCAAUCACAGCCCGGAUCCGUCUUCCCAGCAUCCCUUGGGCGACCGGCCCUUUAGAAUGGGCGGGCCGUGGCUCCUUCGCCUCUGGACCAUAUUUCCCAGAAGGGACUGCGGGUCCCUGUGGGUCUGGCGCCUCCGGGUUCCUCAGGCUGGGCCGGAGACUGAGCUCCAGGCGUCCGGGGCGGGACCCAUGCGGCGUCUCUGCGCCAUCUUGCGUCAGAGCGAUUGUCGCGUGUGAGGGCGAGCGGGAGGCCCUUCCGGUCCGCAGCGCGGGAGCUCCUUGGCCAACACGAUUAGCCCUGAGCUAACAUCUACUGCCAAUCCUCCUCUUUUUGCUGAGGAAGACUGGCCCUGAGCUAACAUCCCUGCCCAUCUUCCUCUACUUUAUAUGUGGGACGCCUGCCACAGCAUGGCUUGACAAGCGGUGCCAUGUCCGCACCCGGGAUCUGAACCUGCGAACCCCCAGCCACCAAAGCGAACGUGCCAACUUAACUGCUGCAGGACCAGGCCAGCCCCAAUAGCAGUUUUUUAAAUUUGCAUUUUCCUUAGGAAGAGGACUGUAGUUGUAUGAAUUCUCGAAGGUCUCUGAGCCUCCCCCGUAUACGGUCAGAGAACACUCGAGCCCGACAGAAGUUAAAGCGGAAAAGGCAAGUUUUAUUCAGAAAUUAUUGCCAUAUGGAAGAGAGAGCUCAGCACAGAACUGGGCUCCACUCCGAAUAUAAGAGCAAGUAGGGAUCUUAGCCAAGGAGAGGGCAGAGGUCAGUGGAUGGAGAAUUACUAUGAAAACAUCAAGGAUAAGGGGAGAUUUUGGCUAAAGGGACUCAAUAGGAUUCUUUCUGAAGGCGGCCAGUGCUAUUGAAGGUGAGGGAUGAGGAAUCUGAUCAGAUAUCAUGGGUGGGGGAUUUUUGCUAAACUGACCUAGCAGAAUUCUUGCUAAAACUGGACUAAUUGGGCCAAGGACAGAGCCCAAGACUGGGGCCUUGAGGGCUUAGAGAAGCUUGACUAGAGUUAGUUCAACGAGAGAGCGAGACAUCUAUAUGGGUGUAUCAAUAGAUCCGAUACAGAUAUUUAUGAAUAUAGAUCUCUAUGUGUCUAUAUUUAUGUGUAAACGUUUGUUGAUCACCAUGUAGCAAGCACUGUAAUAAGAGCUUUGCAUAGUAUAACUCAAUUCUCACAGCACCCCUCUGAGGUAACUAGUGUCAUCAAUCCACUGUAAAGAGCGGGGAACUGAGGCAUAGAGAAGUUGAGGAUCCUGGUGCAGCUGCCAUUCCAACCCCAGGCAGUCUCACUCUAGUUUGUGCUCUUAAUAUACCAUCU